RNAcentral lists this unclassified non-coding RNA (170 nucleotides) under uncultured Kockovaella. RNAcentral describes it as "sequence contains ITS2". The record is from RNAcentral. Lineage: Eukaryota; Fungi; Basidiomycota; Tremellomycetes; Tremellales; Cuniculitremaceae.
AACCUCAAUCCCCGAUGGUUUUCUGAACCGUCGGUGGACUUGGAACUGGGCGUCUGCCUCCCAAGGCUCGCCUCAAAUGACUUAGUGGGAACUUCUUGACCUACGCCUGACGUGAUAAGUUUCGUCUCGGCCGGUCUCGAGGCCCGCUCACAACCACCCACAUCUUUCAA